UUUUUCGGAAACUUGUCCGCAGAGCUGCAAAGAAAAGUGCAACGGGGACAGUAUCAGCGGGAGUUUCUGUUCCUCAUGAAGCCGGACAAAGAUACUUCUCUAACACCUGCGUCACGUCAGACAGGUGUGAGCGCAGGUGUUCUUACCUGACGAGCUGCAGCGGAGAUUAUUGGUUAUAAACGCUGAGAGAACAGGAGCCUUGAAGAUGUCUGAAGGUCUCCCCACGUCUCCAUCAUCACCUCCGUCUCCCAAUGAGCUCGGGUCCAUCGCUAUAGCAACUGGUUGCCACGGGCGACGAGACACAGCCAGCGCCAGGCAGCAUCCUCCUCAUCCUCACAGUUGCUGUCGAAAAGGCAGAGAGCGAGGAGAGAGAGGGAGAGAAGGCGCGGCGCGAGCAGAGCAGCAGAGGAAGACGCUUUUAUCUCGCCAAAAUAAAACCAACAAAAUAAAAAAGAGAAAACGAAACCUCCAACCAGACGUCUGGAUUCUCCUGCCGACGAGUGUUUCUGCUUCCAGCAGGAAACCAGAGGAUGAAAGGAUGGUGACAACUUGUUCUUCCAGGAAAGUGUUGCUUCAGUGCUCGGCUGUGUCGGAGUGCAGGCGGUGACCCCACCGCCGAGACCGCCGCCGCCGCCGCCGUCACUGCUGCUGCAGGAAGGCCUCUCCUCUCUGACACCGACCUUCUUUUGCCACAAAGACAAUGUUUUCCUGUGGACCGUCUCUCACUGGACAGAAGAGGACGGUCUGAA
This is a long non-coding RNA of Lates calcarifer (barramundi perch), 749 nucleotides long. RefSeq lists it as uncharacterized. NCBI's taxonomy places the organism in Eukaryota, Metazoa, Chordata, Actinopteri, Centropomidae. The transcript has 3 exons. The record is from RefSeq and is a predicted model, not a curated record.